AGGAUGCGAGCGUUAUCCGGAUUUAUUGGGUUUAAAGGGAGCGCAGACGGCAGUGCAAGUCUGCAGUGAAAACCCGGGGCCCAACCCCGGGACUGCUUUGGAAACUGUGCAGCUGGAGUGUCGGAGAGGCAAGCGGAAUUCCUAGUGUAGCGGUGAAAGGCGUAGAUAUUAGGAGGAACACCAGUGGCGAAGGCGGCUUGCUGGACGAUGACUGACGUUGAGGCUCGAAAGCGUGGGGAGCAAA
RNAcentral lists this ribosomal RNA (244 nucleotides) under uncultured bacterium. RNAcentral describes it as "partial 16S ribosomal RNA". It matches the Rfam family "Bacterial small subunit ribosomal RNA", at positions 529 to 772 of the family's 1533-position model. The record is from RNAcentral.